Alexandromys fortis (reed vole) is the source of this 2751-nucleotide long non-coding RNA. RefSeq lists it as uncharacterized. The record is from RefSeq and is a predicted model, not a curated record. The transcript is spliced from 6 exons. NCBI's taxonomy places the organism in Eukaryota, Metazoa, Chordata, Mammalia, Rodentia, Cricetidae.
CAGGUCUGCCCAGGGCGCGUCUCCGGUCCUGGUCUCCCGAGUGACCUCUGGACCUGCCUUUUUACCUGCCCUGCGCGAGGACUCCUCCAAGGAUCUGUCUACCCGGGCUUAGUGACGCCUGCAGUGAAUCCUUCGGAGGUAGCUGUCCCCUGCCGCCCAGGAGCUCGUUGAGCCUGGGGAGCGGAGGGAUACGAUGGAGGCAUCUGUCAUAUCCAGAUUCGCUCGGAUGCCUCUUCCCUCAUGCUGGAAGGAUUUGAGAAAACCGAAAGCACCAUGAUGGCUGGGAAUUCAUUUGCUGUACAUCCUGGUACGGGACCUGGCCCAGCCGAAAUGAACAAGACGAGGAAGGCCAUUGACAUUGCUCUUGGCUGCCUCACAGCUAGACGGUGAGACUCUCGCUGAAUAUACACUGGUUGCAGCACAUUCAUGAAUCAAGCUGGAACUGACCUCAUGGCUGACCUUCACAGUGCCAGAAGGUGCUAUGCAGGUGAAUGCUACAAGAAUGAGCUGCCAGGUUUAGAGUCACCUAGGAGACACACCUCAGGGCACGUCAGUCAGAAUGUUUCCGGACCGGAAGACCCACCCCGAAUGUGGGCAGCAGCCACUGAUGGGCUGGUGUCCUAGACAGGGUAGGGAGCCAAUGGGACUGUCACUGGUCUUGCUCUGCUUCCUUACUGACACAGUGUGACCAGCUGCCUCCUGCUCCACCUCCCCCCCACCAGGUAUAGCCACUUCUACUGUCACCUUCCCCACAAAGGCGAGACUGUACCUCCUAACUGUGAGCCAAGAAAGAAAAUUUUUCCUUCCUAGGUUGCAUUUGUCUGAUGCUUGGAUGCAACAGUGAGAAAAGGAGCUACUCUACACAGCCUGGCCCUAGCUGCCAGCCCCUCCCACGGAACAUUUGAAGCUCGUACUCAUGUGGUCACCUUCAAGUACAGCCUCUCAUAUCUGUGUGGACGCGGUACAGUCUGUCACCUGCAGGCACAGCUUCUAUGUCUGUGUGGACACGGUACAGUCUGUCACUUGCAGGUACAGUGUCUCAUGUCUGUGUGGACAUGGUACAAUCUGUCACCUGCAGAUACAGCUUCUCAUAUCUGUGUGGACACGGUACAGUCUGCCACCUGUUUCUCAUAUCUGUGUGGACACGGUACAGUCUGUCACCUGCUUCUCAUAUCUGUGUGGACACGGUACAGUCUGCCACCUGCUUCUCAUGUCUGUGUGGACACGGUACAGUCUGCCACCUGCAGGUUUAUUUCAGAAGUCUAAGGGCUUCAGACCACUAAGGAUUGAGCCAACUAGCCUCUCUGAGCAUUCUUCAACACACCCCCUUGGGAGGAUGUGCGAGCCAACAAAGACCCAAGACACAUGUUCCCAAACCCGCGGUGCCCAUCACCCUUUGGUCAUCCCUGCUAGCCUGGAACAUCUUCCUGCCCUAGGUUUGUGCUCUCCUUGUCCUGCCUCUUGGUUAAAGCUGGCUUUUUUGUCCUACUCAACAAAAUUGUAGAAGAAACAAUGUCACAAGACAUAUGCUGAACCUGUGCUGGUCCUUAGGAGUGAGAAGCCCAUUAUAGGAGCUACGAGGAGUAGGAAGGGACACAAUGACUUCAGCAGACGGUGUGAAGUGAGCAUCCUUGAUUUACACUCCCUGGCCUCCUGCCCACAGACGGCGUCUGAGACACUGGACUAUUCAUUGAAUUCUGUGGAUUCUCGCCUAGGCACUUUGGUUGCAAGAACAAAACUGACUCCAGUUGAAUCCUGGAAUGGAAGUUUAUUGGAGGAACACACUAGAAAGGUUCCUGGAGAAAAGAUGGUAUUCAGGCACAAAACCAAAAGGGACUGAGGAGGAUCAGGACGUUCAAGGUUAUCCAUUCCCAGUCAUUUAAUGAGAUUGAAGUCAGUUUGAGCUAUGUGAGACCUUGUUGGAGGCAGGGGAGGAAGGAAAGAGAGAAGAAAAAAGUGGUCCUAGAACAAGCCAUAGCACCACCUUGGCUACACAGUUACUCCUUUCCUGAUCCAUUCCCAACUUUCUAGCCCUAUUCUGGCCCCACCACUCUCCAGGUUCUCAGCUCCAGGCCCUUUGUUCCUGACACCAUCUACUACCAGGCUGUGGCAGGAGUCGCCAGCCCACUGGAGGCCCGGUUCCUCCCAUCACUGACCUCCCAGGACACUUCAUUCCUUCCUGGUGAUAAUCAUUUGUUUCAACAGACUCUGGAGCAUGGGCAUCCAGGAAAUGAACAACUGUUCACUUUGCCAUGGAGAGAAAUCCUUGUUCAUAUUUGAACAGGUAACACCCCUGUCUGCUCCUUGCUCUUGGAAGAGCUGGUACAGCUGUAGGGUUGGGAGGGACCACACCCUGUACAGAGAUGUCUGCCUGGCAUGCCCUUGCCCUACUGAGUGUGAUGGUUUGAAUGAGAAUGGCCCCCAUAAGCCCAGGUGUUUGAAUGCUUUGUCCCUGGUUGAUGAACUGUUUGGGAAGGAUUAGGAGGUGUGGCCUUGUUGGGGUAGGUGUGUCUCUGGGGGUAGGCUCUGAGAUUUCAAAGGUCCACGCCAGCCAGGGGUUUCUCUCUCUCUCUCUCUCUCUCUCUCUCUCUCUCUCUCUCUCUCUCUCUCUCUCUCUCCUGCUGCCUGGACUAUAAAGCUCUCAGCUCUUACUCUGGUGCCACAACUGUCUGCUUCCCACCAUGAUGGUCAUGGGCUAACCCUCUAAAACUGUAAGCAAGGCCCCAGCUGAAUACAUUCUUUUCUAAGAGU